UUACAUCUGAACCCUGAGACCUCUGUUUUCUGGACUGACAGCACCUCCGUCCUGAAAUACAUCUGCAGUGAAGCAAAGAGGUUCAUAGCUUUGCUGCUAGCAGAGCGUCCAUCAUCAGAGAAGCUGCACCAGCGAACCAGAGGAGAUAUGUGAGCUCUGAAGACCAUCCAGCAGAUGAGGCAUCAGGAGGGAUGAGAGCGGAGGACUUCUUGGAGCUCAGCAGAUGGAUUAAUGGUCCUGAGUUCCUGUUUGAGUCUGAGAGAUUUAUAUCUAUCCAUCAAUUAUCUAUACCCACUCAUCCUUGCAGGGCCGUAGGUCUCAUUCUUCUACAUUUCAGCAAACAUUUCAGUUUUGUUUCUUCAUCAACUCCAAUCUCUCCCUGAGUCUCAUGACUUCAGAGAAAUUAAAUGUUUCUGUUUAAAUGACAUUUUUUAAAUGGAGCCUCAUCUCAGGCCUCAGGGCUUUAUUAUCAGACGUAGCAUCACCUCCUCUAACACUGAAUCAUGACACCUUCAGCAUCUUUUCCUCCAAUAUCUGUCAAAGACACGUCACUCAGACAGAAAAACUCUCCCUGUCCAUUUUUACUGCAUUAGUUCACCUUCUAAGGUUGGUCUGAUGGAGCUGCUUUGACUCAGAGUCACUGAUCUGGAAACUUCUCCAGAGUUUUCCAGCAUCACAGACUCUGGUGACAGAGAUGAUCCAGCAGGAGGUCCAGAACCAGGAGAAACCAGAGUUCUGCUGGAGAACCAGAACCAAGAUCAGGUGGCAGUUCACUUUAAGAAGGAACCAGAAGGAACCAAAGUUCUGCUGGAGACCAGAAACCCAGACAGGAAACGGUACCUUGUUGUCGACUGUGGAGAUCGACAUGUUCGCUUCAUUAGUUAUGAAGUCCUGGAAGCAGGAGCCUUGAAGAAGCUGGACAAAGACUUUAGACGUUAUCUGGCAGAGGAAAAUUUAAAGGAGUUCCUCGGAGAAAUUUUCUCUGAUGAAGUCUGGAGAGAAUAUGAACAAAACUUCCCCAGUGAGGUUCGGAAAAUGAUGUUUGAAUUUGCUCGUCUCAAACAUUUAGAUGAAGAUGUUCAGAUCAGCUGCCCAGAUAAGCUGAGAGAAGAAGCUCAGAGAGAGAAAGACAUUGAAACGUUCUUUGCUUCAGUGGAAGGAGCUUCCUGGGAGGACGGAGUCAUCAAAAUCUCCAGAGACAAACUGAGGUCUUUCUUUGAUGACAGUCUGCAGGGAAUCACUGAGAGUCUCAAAGAAAUGUUAAAUAAAAACUCCAACAUUGGGUUUAUUGUGUUAGUGGGGGGCCUUGCUGAGAGCCAGAUGCUCCGUCAGUUCAUCACUGAUCAGUUUGGACAUCAGUAUAAAGUCCUGUGUCCUCUUAGACCCCAGGAAGCGGUCCUGAAAGGAGCCGUAGAGUUGGGGAGAAACCCAGAGUUGGUCCGGUUUGAUUGAAUUGUUUUUACUGAGAAUCAUUUUCUGUUUUUGUUACUGUGAUUUAUUUCCAUGAACAGUUUUCAGGAAAGGAAAUGUUGUUAAAAUGUGUCAACAUGUAGUUUUAAUCCCUGAUUUUUGGUUCUACAGAAGAAAACAUUUAUCUUUAUGGAGGACAUCGCUGAUGGAAGAAUGAUGUACUGUGGUCUAUAAUUCAGAGCUGAUUCUGUGGUAAAUCAGUGGAUUCUAGUAGAAAUACCUGAUGAUGAGAAUAAAUAACUUUAUUAACAGAGAUGCUGGUCCAGUUAUUAAAAAUAUAAACCCAGUUCCACUGAAGUUGAACGUUGUUUAAAAUGUAAAUAGAAAUAAAAUAUGAUU
Fundulus heteroclitus (mummichog) is the source of this 1809-nucleotide long non-coding RNA. RefSeq lists it as uncharacterized. The transcript has 3 exons. Lineage: Eukaryota; Metazoa; Chordata; Actinopteri; Cyprinodontiformes; Fundulidae. The record is from RefSeq and is a predicted model, not a curated record.